This 1034-nucleotide ribosomal RNA is filed under the name Glutamicibacter arilaitensis. RNAcentral describes it as "bacterial SSU rRNA". It matches the Rfam family "Bacterial small subunit ribosomal RNA", at positions 46 to 1094 of the family's 1533-position model. The record is from RNAcentral. Lineage: Bacteria; Bacillati; Actinomycetota; Actinomycetes; Micrococcales; Micrococcaceae.
GCUUACACAUGCAGUCGAACGAUGAAGCCCAGCUUGCUGGGUGGAUUAGUGGCGAACGGGUGAGUAACACGUGAGUAACCUGCCCCCGACUCUGGGAUAAGCCCGGGAAACUGGGUCUAAUACCGGAUAUUACCUCUUGCCGCAUGGCAGGUGGUGGAAAGAUUUAUCGGUGGGGGAUGGACUCGCGGCCUAUCAGCUUGUUGGUGAGGUAAUGGCUCACCAAGGCGACGACGGGUAGCCGGCCUGAGAGGGUGACCGGCCACACUGGGACUGAGACACGGCCCAGACUCCUACGGGAGGCAGCAGUGGGGAAUAUUGCACAAUGGGCGAAAGCCUGAUGCAGCGACGCCGCGUGAGGGAUGACGGCCUUCGGGUUGUAAACCUCUUUCAGUAGGGAAGAAGCGAAAGUGACGGUACCUGCAGAAGAAGCGCCGGCUAACUACGUGCCAGCAGCCGCGGUAAUACGUAGGGCGCAAGCGUUAUCCGGAUUUAUUGGGCGUAAAGAGCUCGUAGGCGGUUUGUCGCGUCUGCCGUGAAAGUCCGAGGCUCAACCUCGGAUCUGCGGUGGGUACGGGCAGACUAGAGUGAUGUAGGGGAGACUGGAAUUCCUGGUGUAGCGGUGAAAUGCGCAGAUAUCAGGAGGAACACCGAUGGCGAAGGCAGGUCUCUGGGCAUUUACUGACGCUGAGGAGCGAAAGCAUGGGGAGCGAACAGGAUUAGAUACCCUGGUAGUCCAUGCCGUAAACGUUGGGCACUAGGUGUGGGGGACAUUCCACGUUUUCCGCGCCGUAGCUAACGCAUUAAGUGCCCCGCCUGGGGAGUACGGCCGCAAGGCUAAAACUCAAAGGAAUUGACGGGGGCCCGCACAAGCGGCGGAGCAUGCGGAUUAAUUCGAUGCAACGCGAAGAACCUUACCAAGGCUUGACAUGUGCCAGACCGCUUCAGAGAUGGAGUUUCCCUUCGGGGCUGGUUCACAGGUGGUGCAUGGUUGUCGUCAGCUCGUGUCGUGAGAUGUUGGGUUAAGUCCCGCAACG